CCCUCUGAUAAUGUCUUUGUUUUUUUUCCUUUUUUUAUUUUAGUUUUUUUCAAGAGAGCCUGUCUGUGUGGUGCAGGGUGGCCUACCAACUCCUUCGACCUUUGAGUGCUGAGAUUUCAGCAGUUACUGCGUCUGAAGUUUCUCCCACAGCGGCUAGUAUGCUCUGGACCAAAUUUCUAAGUAACAAAGUGGGCAAAUGAACACUAUGGAGCCAGGACCUCAUAACUCUGGCAAACCUUUCCCUUGGUGAGUUCCCAGAAAAAAUGCCAGCCCUACCAGGAAAGUAUGCAGAGACUAUGACUAAGUAAUAGAAGUAUUUUCAGUGAAAACUAGGAGAAUCCUGUCUAAAUCUUUCCGCAGAUGUUACGAGGAGGCCAAGAACUUAACUAAAAUACAACUCUUUUAUCUGCCAAUAAUACAAAUGCCUAGAUAAAAGUCAGGAGCUCACAUCAAGCAUCUGCAUUAAACGUGCAGAUUCACGAGGACAGCCAGAUGCAAAGAGGUUUACUCGUCAUCACAUCUGGCACAGUGACUACAGCACAGUAAACUGGCUUUCAAGGGACUUGUCAGAAACAGCAGAGCUCAAGCCAACAGAAUUCUGUAGAGGCCGACGACCCAAAUUCCAGAACAACUCUCAGCCUGGCUAAUUUUCAAGGUGCCCACUACCUCCACGACAACAAUACACAACCUAGCUAAAAUCAAGCUUUCCAACUCUCCAAAACAUCCCAAAUCUCACUCACCCUUCGCACCUCAAGUUAGAACCAAAGGGUCCGACACAAAGGCCAGCCCUUCCAAGGCGCUUUCUGCAAGGAUCCACCACCUACGGAAAAUUUCUAACUGGGGGCUCAACGGCCCCCGUUUUGCCCUUCCUCAACCCCGCCCCAGCUGGCAAGCCUCCGCCUGGGAGCCCCUCUGCGUGGAACAAAGCGUCGGGCCCGGCGGCUCGGGCGAGACGCGCCAGCGGCGCGGGGACAGCCGCACCGCGCACAAUGAGCAACUAGCAACUUCAGAGCGCAGAACAGCCUCCAUUGGCAAGAAAAAGGGGCGGCGGCAGGCACGCCCAACUUCAAACUCAGGAAACCUACGGGCUGGCGGCCAUAAGGAAAAAAGCCCUCUUCCCAGGGAGAGAAGAUAAAGGCGGAGAUGCGAGUCGCCCACCGGGCCCCGGAGGGGAGCCCUGCGCUCAGACCGGCCCCCGCCCCCGAGGCCCGCUUCCCCGCUGCUCAGCUUUUGGUUCGCUGCCCCAGGCCGGGC
Molecule: long non-coding RNA, 1254 nt
Organism: Chinchilla lanigera (long-tailed chinchilla)
Lineage: Eukaryota; Metazoa; Chordata; Mammalia; Rodentia; Chinchillidae
Exons: 3
Source: RefSeq, a predicted model, not a curated record